This is a long non-coding RNA of Vidua chalybeata, 196 nucleotides long. RefSeq lists it as uncharacterized. NCBI's taxonomy places the organism in Eukaryota, Metazoa, Chordata, Aves, Passeriformes, Viduidae. The record is from RefSeq and is a predicted model, not a curated record. The transcript has 2 exons.
GAUGUGUUCGGUGGCCUUGAUUUUCAAUUCCCAGUUUUCUAAGAUCAACUUCUGUGAGAUGGAAUAAGUCCUGUAGCAAAUACCAGAGUACUUUCAGAUUGCAAGAUGGUCAGCAUGAAGGGCAUAUGAUUCUCAGAGAGAUAAAAGGAAAACCACAGCUAGCUGGCUAAAACAUAAAUAAAACCAUGGAUAAAUA